This 1341-nucleotide ribosomal RNA is filed under the name metagenome. RNAcentral's name for it is "bacterial LSU rRNA". It matches the Rfam family "Bacterial large subunit ribosomal RNA", at positions 1570 to 2925 of the family's 2925-position model. The record is from RNAcentral.
CGAGAUGCUACGGCGUCGAAGCAGUGUAUGUCAGACUUCCAAGAAAAGCUCGCAAUGUCAUAAAUAAAGAAUGCCUGUACCAUAACCGACACAGGUGGGUAGGUAGAGUAUACUAAGGGGCGCGAGAUAACUCUCUCUAAGGAACUCGGCAAAAUAACUCCGUAACUUCGGGAGAAGGAGUGCCUUCUUUAAGAAGGUUGCAAUAACAAGAUCCAAGCAACUGUUUAUCAAAAACACAGGUCUCCGCUAAGUCGUAAGACGAUGUAUGGGGGCUGACGCCUGCCCAGUGCCAGAAGGUUAAAGAAGUUGGUUAGCUUUUGCGAAGCUGAUGACUGAAGCCCUGGUGAACGGCGGCCGUAACAAUAACGGUCCUAAGGUAGCGAAAUUCCUUGUCGGGUAAGUUCCGACCCGCACGAAAGGCGUAAUGAUUUGGAUACUGUCUCGGAGAGGGACUCGGUGAAAUAGACUUGUCUGUGAAGAUGCGGACUACCUGCACCAGGACAGAAAGACCCUAUGAAGCUUUACUGUAACUUGAAAUUGAAAUUGGACUUUAUUUGCGCAGUAUAGGUGGAAGGCGUUGAAAGUAAUCUUGCGGGAUUAGUGGAGCCAUCAGUGAGAUACCACUCCUAUAAUGUUAGAUUUCUAACUUUGGAUCAUGAUCUGGUCAAAGAACAGUUUCAGGCGGGCAGUUUGACUGGGGCGGUCGCCUCCCAAAUGGUAACGGAGGCGUACAAAGGUUUCCUCUGAACGGGUAGAAAUCGUAUCUAGAGUGUAAAGGCAUAAGGAAGCUUGACUGUGAGACCUACAAGUCGAGCAGGGACGAAAGUCGGUCUUAGUGAUCUGACGGUGCUGAGUGGAAAGGCCGUCACUCAACGGAUAAAAGUUACUCUAAGGAUAACAGGCUGAUCUCCCCCAAGAGUUCACAUCGACGGGGAGGUUUGGCACCUCGAUGUCGGCUCAUCGCAUCCUGGGGCGGUAGUACGUCCCAAGGGUUGGGCUGUUCGCCCAUGAAAGCGGUACGCGAGCUGGGUUCAGAACGUCGUGAGACAGUUCGGUCCAUAUCCGGUGUAGGCGUUAGAAUAUUGAGAGGAGCCUUCUUUAGUACGAGAGGACCGAGAAGGACAUACCUCUGGUGUACCAGUUAUCGUGCCAACGGUAAACGCUGGGUAGCUAUGUAUGGAGAGGAUAACCGCUGAAAGCAUCUAAGUGGGUAGCCCACCUCAAGAUGAGUAUUCUCAUCACGUAAGUGAGUAAGGUCACGGUAAGACUAACCGUUUGAUAGGCAUUAAGUAUAACUAUAGUAAUAUAUGAGCUGAGAUGUCCUAACAGACCGAGGACUUG